This 1604-nucleotide long non-coding RNA is filed under the name Phoenix dactylifera (date palm). Its description in RNAcentral is "long non-coding RNA (PDAC_LNC005833)". The stretch from base 1 to 369 matches the Rfam family "Bacterial small subunit ribosomal RNA", at positions 1169 to 1533 of the family's 1533-position model. Lineage: Eukaryota; Viridiplantae; Streptophyta; Magnoliopsida; Arecales; Arecaceae. The record is from RNAcentral.
GAAUUUGAGGAUGACGUCAAGUCAUCAUGCCCCUUAUGCCCUGGGCGACACACGUGCUACAAUGGCCGGGACAAAGGGUCGCGAUCCUGCGAGGGUGAGCUAACUCCAAAAACCCGUCCUCAGUUCGGAUUGCAGGCUGCAACUCGCCUGCAUGAAGCCGGAAUCGCUAGUAAUCGCCGGUCAGCCAUACGGCGGUGAAUUCGUUCCUGGGCCUUGUACACACCGCCCGUCACACUAUGGGAGCUGGCCAUGCCCGAAGUCGUUACCUUAACCGCAAGGAGGGGGAUGCCGAAGGCGGGGCUAGUGACUGGAGUGAAGUCGUAACAAGGUAGCCGUACUUCAACACUUUGGAGCUGAAUUCAGGCCAUGUAUUCAAAUUCUUAAAUGAAGGGCCAAGCAAAACUUGAUGCAGAUAAUUUGAUUCUAGAUUUUAAAUGAUCAUCUGCAGUAAUUUACAAUAAAAAAAAGUUCACGAGUUUUGAUAGGGGAAAAAAUGGAUCAUUUAGCCUACAAUUAAAAGGGCGCCCAGUUUUGGCCCAGUAAACAUCAACGACAAUCAGCUGAAUCUUCACUUCAGCCCAGGGUCAGCUCGUCUUCGGGACUCCGCCAAAAGCUCCACCAACUUCAGAUAUUUGUUGACUCUCCUGACCAAACUCGGGGUGCCUCCAGACAUUCGCUGACUCGCCCCGACCAAGCUCGGGGCGCUUACGUUAACAAUAUACCCUGACCCUCGAGCUCGGGGCGCUCUCCCGAGCACGUCUCGGAACUCGUAAAACCGAGCUACUCGCAACACCCGCCAAGCCGACCUCGUCAAAUACAUGAUGAGACUACUUAGCGAGCCCGGCUUCGCCAAUGACCACACCCAUGUGCGGGCCUACGCCCACCUACGUGGUCGUACUUCACAACACUACCGCGUCAUGUCUCCAUAACCGGCCUUCAGCAGUCAGAUGACACCUUGACUACUCCGGACAUACCCUGCCGUAACUGUCAACAACACCCUAUCGUUUUCAGGAACGGGCGGUACUGCACGCCACCAGCCAGCCUAAGCUGCACGCCAUCCGGCUCAGAGUCAUCUUCCCUUAUGAUGAGGGCUGACGGUGCCUCUGCCAUCUGAACCACUCCAUCGAGACUAUAAAUAGUUCGGACAGGUAACUUCUAAGGAACCUUUUUUUUGGCUGGACCAAAUUUACCCCACUCUAACUUGAUCGUCGGAGGGCUCUCACCGGAAACACCGAUGAGGCUUUGUACAGGUCCGCGACCGUCGCGCAGGAGGUAGCUCCCGUCUUCUUCUUCCAACCACUGGCGGCUCCUUCGACUCCACCGGCAUGGUCACCCUCGGGCCAAAUUUGAACCACAACAAGUUCUAUAACAAAAAAUAUAUAGUUUGAAAUUGGGGAUUGGUUUCAAGGAGAUAAAAAGGGGAAACAUUUAACCUUACAGAUUUACAUAAGAUAAAAAUAUUUUAUGUCUCAUUUUCUGGAAGAAAACAUAGGUUUACAGAAUAAUAGGUCCUAAUUGGUAUGAAACAUACAAGUUUUGGUGAUCACAUACGUAUCAAAAUGCUGUCAACAAAGAGCUAACCCAUAUAGGACAAGCGACAAAAA